Molecule: long non-coding RNA, 2128 nt
Organism: Saccostrea cuccullata (small rock oyster)
Lineage: Eukaryota; Metazoa; Mollusca; Bivalvia; Ostreida; Ostreidae
Exons: 4
Source: RefSeq, a predicted model, not a curated record
AAAGUGAAAGUCACAACAUGUAAACUGAAAAUGUAGGUUAGUGCUAAACAUGAGCCAAACUUCCACAGCAACAUCGAUAAGUAUACCAUCAGAUAUUGUUCUUUAUCAAGAUGAUGAAUUUUUAGAAGAUAUAGAGCGUGUGAAUGAAUUGUAUUUCUCUAAACUUGUUGCUCCAAAAUCUAACGUGCGUGACAGACUGUUUUGUGAUCUGUCAAAUGACAGCGAUAAGAUACGAGUGAUUUUGGUUAUUUAAAAUAUGAUUCUGACUUUGAAAGUGACAAUGACAACAAUGAUGGAGAUGUAUAUAUACCGGAUGAAGUAAAUGACAUCGACACGAAGGAAUACAUAUAAAUCCAUUCCAAAUUUCAUCAACUUUCUACAGUUUCUAAUAUGAACAUGAUGAAUGGUGAGGAAAAGGAAGAAAUCCUUUCUACAUAUACGCAGCAUUUUCCCAAGCUAAACAGCAAAGGGACAAUUACAGACACCAGUGUACCACCAGCAAGGUAGCGUUUGUUUCCUUACCAGAGAAAUGAAAUGCUCCAUGCUCAGUUGAUAUGGAAAUGCACUAUUCCUGGGACUAUGCACAAAAGGUGCAUUUUCCUCAUCAUGUCCAACAAGUGGGACCAGUAUUUUUCAAGACGCCUUUGAAAUGCAAUGUGUUUGGUGUAUGUUGCGAGGGUUCAGGAAAACAAGUGUGCUACUUGAUUGAUGAGGCUGAGAACACAGGGAAGGGUGCUAAUUCUGUCAUUAGUAUGGUUCACCUCUUUUUUUCAGUACCAUGGAUAUGGAGAGAAAACAACAUCCAUUCAUUUUGACAACUGCAGUAGGCAAAACAAAAACAACUUUGUCUUAUGGUAUGCUCUCUGGAGAGUUCUUGAAGGACUCCAUAUUAUUGUGGAAUAUUCUAUGAUGGUGGCAGGACACACUAAAUUUUGAUCCUGACUGGCAUUUUGGAGUCUGGAAAGUAAAAUGGCAUUCAUCCACAGCAGAAACCAUAAAUGAUAUAGCAGACACAAUCCGUCGUUCAUCUGGGAGAGGCCAUAACGUUCCUCAGCUCAUGUCUGAUCCACAAACACCUGUGCAGUUUAGGGACUGGAAGUCGUACCUUGAACAGUUCUUCAAACCCUUGAAAAACAUUUGAGGCUAUCAUAAUUUCCGAGUAAGUGCUGAGACUCCUGGUGUUGUUAAAUGUAAGGAACUCUGUAAUUCUGUUCCUUUGUGUGUUAAUCUCCUGAAAGAUCAGAAUAUCCUUCCCUCCGUAAAUGAUCCUCUGCCUCAAGAAAUCCCAGCACCUGGUCUUGAGCCCAAAAGGCAAUGGUACUUAUAUGAGGAAAUCUGUGAACAUUGUCUUUCACUCUCUGCUAAAGACUCAUCAUGUCCAAAACCAGCCGUACCAAAGAAAGAGGUGAAAGUUUAUUCACCUGAUCAUUCCACAUCACACUUGGGAAAAAGGAAGAAUCUUCUCCUUAGAUGAAGGGUCUAAGAUUAUUGUGUGCAAGAAAGAUUAGAAGUAAAAUGUAUACUUGUAGUUCCUAUUGUACUACUCCCAUUGAUGUACUUUUCUGUAAGUCGAAUUUCAUUGCUUUAAAACAUUUGUUAAAAUUAGGACUUUUAUCAUUUACAUAAGCUGUGUCCUAUGAGUAAUGUUUCAUCUCAACAGUUUAAAAAAUGUGUAACAGUAUGAAAAUUAUUCAGUGAUGUUUGCACCUUCUCUGUGACAUUAUCCUUUAAAUGCAUUUUGAAUAUAUGUAGUUUAACAUAAAAUAUUACAAAGCUUUGUCAAAAAUGAUUUUUUUUUCGUUUUUUUUUUUUUAAUUUUCAGGGGAUAUAAUUUUCACACUACCCCCACCCCAAAAUGUAAUAUUUCCAUUUCAAUUUUUUUUUCUCUGUGAUAACUGUUUGAAAGUUGGGGGAAUUUAUUUUUUGAUAAUUUUGCCAGAAUGUAAAUUAGGUAGGUCGAUAGGUCAGCAGCUAAGGAGGCCUAAUACGCAUGCAAAUCUCGUGCACAUCUGUCUCUGUAUCUGACACUAAGGAAGCCAAAUAGCAUGUAAAUCUCCUGCGACUGCCUUUGUGUUUGACGUCAGUGUGCAAGGACUAUUGGAAUUGGCAUGGAAGUCCUCGUGUAAUU